AUUGAGGUCUCUGGAGCUCCACUCUUCUCUCCUUCCUUUCUCCAAAGGCAAGGCAGUUCAAAAACUAUGAAAAUUGUGGUCUUUGGAGCUCUACACUUCCUCCUUUCUCCAAAGGUACGUCAGUUCAAAAACUAUGAAAUUGAGAUCUCUGGAACUCAACUCUUCUCUCCUUCCCCCUUUCUCCAAAGGAAAGGAAGUUCAAAAACUAUGAAAUUGAGGUCUCUGGAGCUCCAUUCUUCCUCCUUUUUCCAAAGGCAAGGCAGUUCAAAAACUAUGAAAAUGGAGGUCUCUGGAGCUCCCCUCUUCUCUCCUUCCUCCUUUCUCCAAAGGUAAGUCAGUUCAAAAACUAUGAAAAUGGAGGUCUCUGGAGCUCCACUCUUCUCUCCUUCCUCCUUUCUUCAAAGGCAAGGCAGUUUAAAAAUUAUGAAAAUUGAGGUCUCUG
Non-coding RNA from Anolis sagrei ordinatus, 442 nucleotides. The record is from RefSeq and is a predicted model, not a curated record. Lineage: Eukaryota; Metazoa; Chordata; Lepidosauria; Squamata; Anolidae.